GGGGGUGUUUUAGAUUCGAUGCUGUAUGGGUUGGCAUUAUAAGCAUACCGAAGGCUCGGCUUCGUAAAAACGGAAAUGUUUCAAAAGAAACGACAACAACAAAUCUUUUGCGUUGGCUGCUUAAUGCGCCGACUGUCAAAUGCUUGUAGACUCAUCGACGGGCAAUUUGGCAUCAUUUUAGGAUGAGGAACCGAGUUUCGCAACGCCGUUAGCGAAAAACGGAACUUAACGGCUUGGAAAGGUUAGCGUGUCUGUGUGCGAACCCCCACGACAAUCAAUUGCAGAAUAAGUAUGUAGAAAGUGGUGUGGGCCCUAUGGUAGACCGGGGUGCAAGUCCCCGCAUCUCCACCA
This 351-nucleotide transfer-messenger RNA is filed under the name Christensenellales. RNAcentral's name for it is "JAEDHM01 sp016296985 Standard tmRNA". It matches the Rfam family "transfer-messenger RNA". Rfam says of the family: Bacterial tmRNA, also known as 10Sa RNA or SsrA, is named for its dual tRNA and mRNA-like properties. Its role is to liberate the mRNA from a stalled ribosome. RNAcentral also lists the same sequence under 1 other name. The record is from RNAcentral. Lineage: Bacteria; Bacillati; Bacillota; Clostridia.